AUUUGUUCUAUUGUUUAUCAGUACAUACAUAUGUAUAUAUAAAUACAUAAAUAUAAUUAAACUUUUUAUCUUUUUUUUAGUCACUUUACCCUUCAAAAAUAAAUUAUUUCCUUUAUAAAACCACAUUCCCGAAUAAACACGAACAAUUAUUCCUAUUUUGGGGCAAUGGACCAGCUAUACUAAAUUUUAUUUUUCAAGUAAAAACAAAUAAACAGAUAAAAUAUGUACAUAUAUGGAAACUCGACUCUAUUAUGUGCUAGUGUACUCUUCAAAUAUAAAUAUAUUUAUACAAAAAGUAUUUGUGAUUUAAUUUAAAAAGAAAUAUGUAUACAUGUAUUUUUUUUUUUUUUUUUUUUUUUUUUUUUUUAUAGACACUAUGUUUUUGUUUCUUAAUCAUAUUGUCUUGCUGGAUGUUUUUAUUAAAAGUAGAUAAUAUAACAUGGUUACAAUUAUAUAAAUACGGUAGUUUAAUUAUAUGUGGAUGUAUAUUAUUUUUUACAUUUAUAUUAAAAUAUAUUGUGUAUUAUUUUAUAAUGAUAAGUAAAACGGGUUAUUUAAUUGACACGAAGUUGUUAGAAAAGGUAAAUCAAAACUAAAAUAUAAAUAAAUAGCAAAAAAAAAAAAAUAAAUAAAUAAAAUAAUACAAUAACAUAAAAAAAAAAAGAAAAAAAAAAAAAAGAAGAAAGUGUAGGAUUUUAUUUUAUUCUUCUUUUUUUAUAUUGCAAUAUAUUACUAAUAUUAUUAUUGUUUUUUCAGGUAUGGGAAUUUGAAAGAUCAGAUAACAUAAAGAGAAUAUCCGAAUUUAUUGAUGCUAUAAAAAUAAAGUCCACCUUACAUGCACUUAAAGAAGGAGGGGAUGUAUUUUGGAGACAGUUGUUAAUAAAAUCAAGCACAGUGCCAUCAAAUAUACAGGAAAAAAUGUUUUCCAUAUGGGUUAGUUUAGAUGAGGAAAAUAGAGGUGUUAUUGAUUCUGUAAAAAUAUUAAAAUUUUUAAAAUCUCAGGGAAUUAAUUUGAAUUCAGAAAAUGAUGUUAAAGUAAGAUAUAUUUUUUUUUAUUUUUUAUGGCAAAAAAAAAAAAAAAAAAAAAAAAAAAAAAAAAAAAAAAAAAAAAAAAUGCUAGUAUGGCACACCUUUUCAUUUUGCUACAUCUGAAUAAACAUAAUUUUUUUUUAGGAAUUCUUGGAAGUAUUUGAUAGAAAUAACAAAAAAGGUUUAAAUCAGGAAGAGUUUUUUGUUCUUAUUAUUAUAGUUAAACAAAUUCUUGUAGAACUUUUAGAUAUUAAUGCUGUUCAGGUGAAAAUAAUAUUUAUAUAUACUAAUACGGACAAAGUCAAUUUUUCAAAAACUGUGGUUAUAUAUAUAUAUAUAUAUAUAUAUUUUUUUUUUUUAAUUUAUCUUUUGUAGUCUUUAUUCGAAGAAGUGUACUGCAUACCAUGGAAUUCGAUGUCGUCAAUUGACGUUAACAGUUUAAAAAAAAUAUUAUCCGAAGUAAGAAAAAGGAAAAAUUAUAGAAGCAACAUAUUAAUUAAACUUUACAAGUUUAUUUAAAUUAUUUGUAAUCUAUAAGUUUACCUUUUUCAAUUUAUUUUGUAAUUUUGUAAUUUAAAAUUCUUUUUUCUUUUUUUUUUUUAGUUAAACUUACAUUGGCCUUAUGGAAAAAUUCGUAAUCUAAUUGAUUUUGUAUGCGAAAAUAAAAAAAACAAAAUAUGUAAGUGCA
RNAcentral lists this long non-coding RNA (1717 nucleotides) under Piliocolobus tephrosceles (Ugandan red Colobus). RNAcentral describes it as "lncRNA (ENSPTEG00000024320.1)". The record is from RNAcentral. Lineage: Eukaryota; Metazoa; Chordata; Mammalia; Primates; Cercopithecidae.